This is a long non-coding RNA of Humulus lupulus (European hop), 253 nucleotides long. RefSeq lists it as uncharacterized. Lineage: Eukaryota; Viridiplantae; Streptophyta; Magnoliopsida; Rosales; Cannabaceae. The transcript has 2 exons. The record is from RefSeq and is a predicted model, not a curated record.
AUAAUGUUUAGGUUAAUAUUUUGACUGGUCUUGAAGCAUUGGAUCGGUAGCUAAUUGCAAGAGGGAUGAUUUUAGAAAGAAAUUCAUGGCAGCCAAUCCUUACUUUGGAAAGGCAGUGACGAGGGUGAGUACAAGGACAAGAAGAAGAAAUAUAUGUUGUUUGACAAUGAAUUUAGUGUUUUAUUAUAUUUGUAAUUUUUAUUAGAGUAAAUGAUUCUUGUUUGAAUGGUUAAUUAUUUGCUUUGUAAAUCUA